RNAcentral lists this long non-coding RNA (776 nucleotides) under Ananas comosus (pineapple). RNAcentral describes it as "long non-coding RNA (ACOM_LNC031200)". The record is from RNAcentral. Lineage: Eukaryota; Viridiplantae; Streptophyta; Magnoliopsida; Poales; Bromeliaceae.
AAAGGAAAACUUCGAAUACUAUUCCUGUGGUUUCGCGCUUUCUCACUUUAGUAUCCUAUGGUUUAAAGUAUAUCACUUAAAUACCUUGUGAUUUUAUUUUUCACUUUUAAUCAGCAUCUUCAUUAACUGUUUGUUAAAUCAUAUACAUUAAAUUUUAGAGAUCCUAUCUAUAAUUUAUCGAAUAUUCACUUUAAUAACACGUGGUUUACCGAAUUUUCACUUUAGUAUUCUUUGGUUUUAACUUUGUCGCUGAUUUAACAAAAAAAUUAACGGAGCAGAUAAUAAAAAAAUAAAAAUAAAAAUAUCGGAUAUGAAAGUAAUAAUACAUUUUAAAUUAUACGGUACUAAAAUGAAAAAAACACGAAAUCAUAGAAGAUGGAGAACCUAAAUAAAUAAAAUAUCCAAGUAUUGGAGAUUGAUGGUGCAAACCCUCCAUUUUAAUAGAUUUUAGAAAAAAAAAAUUAAAAUUCACAUCUCGUGCGUGACCAAACUUUAUAAUAGUAGAGUCAUCAAAUAAUUUAAAUUAAAUAAAUAAAAAAUUAAGCAUCAAAAUUAACUUUUUUUAAGAUUAUUAUUGGACUCCAUAAUUUACAUGGAUUAAGCAGCAAAUUUCAAAUUCAAAUUCGGUGUUUGGUUUAAUAUAUUUAACUUCAAUUACUGCAAUAAGAACUGUAGGAGGAUGUCCAAAUGCAGCAGUUGGAAUUACGCUCAAAUUGGCCGCAGUUCCAACUGCAGCAGUUGGAGAGUAUAACUUUAAACAAAAGAUUACCUUACAU